CCUACGGGGGGCAGCAGUGGGGAAUAUUGCGCAAUGGACGAAAGUCUGACGCAGCGACGCCGCGUGAGGGAUGAAGGUUUUCGGAUCGUACACCUCUGUCAGCAGGGAGGAAAGCGCAUGGCGCCAAUCAGCCAUGCGUUGACGGUACCUCCAGAGGAAGCGCCGGCUAACUCCGUGCCAGCAGCCGCGGUAAUACGGAGGGCGCAAGCGUUAAUCGGAAUUACUGGGCGUAAAGCGCGCGUAGGCUGUUGUGUAAGUUGGGGGUGAAAUCCCACGGCUCAACCGGGGAACAGCACUUGAAACUGGGAGGCUUGAGUCCGGGAGAGGGGGGCAGAAUUCCAGGUGUAGGAGUGAAAUCCGUAGAUAUCUGGAGGAAUAUCAGUGGCGAAGGCGGCCACCUGGACCGGGAUUGACGCUGAGGCGUGAAAGCGUGGGGAGCAAACAGGAUUAGAUACCCGGGUAGUC
Molecule: ribosomal RNA, 465 nt
Filed under: uncultured bacterium
Lineage: Bacteria
Description: partial 16S ribosomal RNA
Rfam family: Bacterial small subunit ribosomal RNA
Source: RNAcentral